CAGCAGCCGCGGGAAUACGAAGGGGGCUAGCGUUGCUCGGAAUGACUGGGCGUAAAGGGCGCGUAGGCGGAUUGUUUAGUUAGGCGUGAAAUUCCUGGGCUUAACCUGGGGACUGCGCUUAAUACAGGCAGUCUAGAGUGAGGAAGAGGGUUGUGGAAUUCCCAGUGUAGAGGUGAAAUUCGUAGAUAUUGGGAAGAACACCGGUGGCGAAGGUGGCGACCUGGUCCUUGACUGACGCUGAGGCGCGAAAGCGUGGGGAGCAAACAGGAUUAGAUACCCCGGUAGUCCCUGUCUCUUAUAC
Molecule: ribosomal RNA, 301 nt
Filed under: uncultured bacterium
Lineage: Bacteria
Description: partial 16S ribosomal RNA
Rfam family: Bacterial small subunit ribosomal RNA
Source: RNAcentral